Molecule: ribosomal RNA, 428 nt
Filed under: uncultured bacterium
Lineage: Bacteria
Description: bacterial SSU rRNA
Rfam family: Bacterial small subunit ribosomal RNA
Source: RNAcentral
UCGAGAAUUUUUCUCAAUGGGCGCAAGCCUGAAGGAGCGACGCCGCGUGGGGGAUGAAGGGUUUCGAUCCGUAAACCCCUGUCAUUUGCGAACAAACCUUGUUAUUUAAAAGAUGACGAGCUGAUUGUAGUGAAAGAGGAAGGGACGGCUAACUCUGUGCCAGCAGCCGCGGUAAUACAGAGGUCCCAAGCGUUGUUCGGAUUCACUGGGCGUAAAGGGUGCGUAGGUGGCGGGGAAAGUUUGAUGUGAAAUCUCCGGGCUUAACCCGGAAAUGGCAUUGAAUACUAUUCCGCUUGGAGGGUUGGAGGGGGGACUGGAAUUCUCGGUGUAGCAGUGAAAUGCGUAGAUAUCGAGAGGAACACCAGUGGCGAAGGCGAGUCCCUGGACAACACCUGACACUGAGGCACGAAAGCUAGGGGAGCAAACAG